GCGGGAGUAGCUCAGUUGGUAGAGCGCAACCUUGCCAAGGUUGAAGUCGCGGGUUCGAGUCCCGUCUCCCGCU
This 73-nucleotide transfer RNA is filed under the name bacterium. RNAcentral's name for it is "tRNA-Gly". It matches the Rfam family "tRNA". From Rfam's summary of the family: Transfer RNA (tRNA) molecules are approximately 80 nucleotides in length. The record is from RNAcentral. RNAcentral also lists the same sequence under 4 other names.